This 405-nucleotide ribosomal RNA is filed under the name uncultured bacterium. RNAcentral's name for it is "partial 16S ribosomal RNA". It matches the Rfam family "Bacterial small subunit ribosomal RNA", at positions 30 to 525 of the family's 1533-position model. The record is from RNAcentral.
AUUGAACGCUGGCGGCAGGCCUAACACAUGCAAGUCGAACGAGUGGCGGACGGGUGAGUAAUGUCUGGGAAACUGCCUGAUGGAGGGGGAUAACUACUGGAAACGGUAGCUAAUACCGCAUACCAUCAGAUGUGCCCAGAUGGGAUUAGCUUGUUGGUGGGGUAACGGCUCACCAAGGCGACGAUCCCUAGCUGGUCUGAGAGGAUGACUAGCCACACUGGAACUGAGACACGGUCCAGACUCCUACGGGAGGCAGCAGUGGGGAAUAUAGCACAAGGGGAGAAAGCCUGAUGCGGCCAUGCCGCGUGUAUGAAGAAGGAAUUCUGGGUGUAAAGUAUGUUCAGCGGGGAGGCGUGACCGGCAGAAGAAGCACCGGCUAACUCCGUGCCAGCCGCCGCGGUAAUC